GCCGUGGACUGAGCAGCCUCAGCCUGUCUCUUGUUCAGUUGUUCUCUGUGUGACUGGGUGCAGGGGAGCUGCGGGCCAUGGAGUUAGCCGGGGCCACAUAGCAGCUGCAUCCCCUGCACCUGUGGUACUUACGCCACUGCCAACCGCUGGGAAUAAUAUCCGAGGGUCCCGAUGGUCAGGAUCCCGCCACUCGAAAUGCAGACGCCAGAAUACCGACACUGCCCGGAAUGCUGGCACUGGCAUCCUUACUAGGAUCACAAUCCUGGCGCCAUAAUCCCGACCAACACGAUCCCAACUGUUUGCCAGGCCGCCGGAGAGGUCAUCUCCUUUUCUUCAGUAAAUAAUAAUAGGGCUGAGUCGUGCACUGCUGCGACCAUGUUAGCAGCUUUUCCUCUUCCUCUGGUGUAUAGUCGUGCAUCUGAAUGCGAAAAUGCACAGACACCCACUUUCAGUGGCUUCAGUCACAACCAUCGGAAGCACCAUCAGGACUUGAACCACCCCCUUGCUAUGAGCAGAACUCUGUCCAAGUUUGGUCUUCAUGUAUGUGGUUACAUGAUCUGGGGGCCUAAUUCAGAUCUGAUCGCAACAGCAAAUUUGUUAGCUAAUGGGCAAAACCAUGGGCCUAAUUCUGAGUUGAUCGCAGCAGCAAAUUUGUUAGCAGUUGGGCAAAACCAUAUGCACUGCAGGGGGGACAGAUGUAACAUGUGCAGAGAGAGUUAGAUUUGGGUGGGUUGUGUUCAAGCUGAAAUCUAAAUUGCAGUGUAAAAAUAAAGCAGACAGUAUUUACCCUGCACAUAAACAAUAUUAAGGGGGGUACUCACGGAGCGAUAUUCUAAGCAAUCUGACUAGAUUGCUUAGAAUAUCAGCAUGAUCGCUCCGUGU
Molecule: long non-coding RNA, 882 nt
Organism: Pseudophryne corroboree (corroboree frog)
Lineage: Eukaryota; Metazoa; Chordata; Amphibia; Anura; Myobatrachidae
Exons: 3
Source: RefSeq, a predicted model, not a curated record